UGGAAUAAGCUAUCAUUUUGUAAACUCACGGAUUUAUCACACUGAUAUACAUUGGCUUUAACUUUAGCAGGAAAGUAAUUAUAUGUGACAGUUCUAGAUGAUAUUGUUGCAUCACUUAACAUUUUACUAUUGUGGACAAAAAAAAGGUUCUGAAUCGGCUUUUGGUAAAAUAUUUGUAUAGAUGCAUUUGGUUAAAAGUUGCCAAAGCUGUUAAAUGAAUGUACAGCAUCAGGGCUGUCAUCGGCGGCGGAAGAAAUGUUGGCUUGGCAAGACUUGGAAUCUGACUACUCCAUGCACACAGAGACGGUGGGAGUUUGGAGGGGAGCUACAUUGAAAGUGAGCUGACUGACUUGAUCCUGUCAUUGCCUGCUUUGGAUUGCAACCCAAUGUGAUCGAUGGAGUUUGAGCAUUUUAUGGAUCAGUUUGCACUCUCAAAGUCAAUGAAGAAACUCCUCUAAAGUAAGACCUUGCUCCAUUAUCUCUAUGCAGUGUGAUGUUUUGUUUAUUGUGCAUUAUCCUAAGCUUGUGUAGUGGAUGUUUAUCGUGGCUGUUUUUUUAUUUGGCUUGGUUGACCUGCUUGUGGAUGGUUAUUGAACAUCAUUUCUGCUAUAGAUUCAUCUCUUUAUGACAUUGUUUUCAUGAGUUCAGUUUGUCUUGUCACAUGAUCAGCCUGAUGUUGUGGUUGGUGUUACUGUUCUCUGGCUAUAAGUAGAGUGCUGAAGGGUAGCUGCAGUUAUUGAGAAGGGUUAUCAUAUCAAACUGUUAUUAUGCAACUUGAGACAAGUUAGGUGUGCAUGAUUCUGUGUUCUAUGUGGUAUUCAGAAGUGUAUAUUGGCAUUGAUACUAGAGCUGCAAUGAUUAGUAAACACAUUGUAAAUUCUGUCAAAUAAUUUCCUGUUUCUCUGUUUUAUAUCAUAUUAAACAGAAUAUUUGGUU
Notothenia coriiceps (black rockcod) is the source of this 936-nucleotide long non-coding RNA. RefSeq lists it as uncharacterized. Lineage: Eukaryota; Metazoa; Chordata; Actinopteri; Perciformes; Nototheniidae. The transcript has 3 exons. The record is from RefSeq and is a predicted model, not a curated record.